CCCUUAGAUGUUCUGGGCUGCACGCGCGCUACACUGAUGCGCUCAACGAGUUUACGACCUUGCCCGGAAGGGUUGGGUAAUCUUUUUAAAACGCAUCGUGAUGGGGAUAGAUUAUUGCAAUUAUUAAUCUUUAACGAGGAAUUCCUAGUAAGCGCGAGUCAUCAGCUCGUGCUGAUUACGUCCCUGCCCUUUGUACACACCGCCCGUCGCUCCUACCGAUUGAAUGGUUUAGUGAGAUCUUCGGAUUGGCGCCACUGCGGCUCAGCAAUGGGCUCGGUGGAUGCCGAAAAGUUGAUCAAACUUGAUCAUUUAGAGGAAGUAAAAGUCGUAACA
RNAcentral lists this ribosomal RNA (333 nucleotides) under uncultured eukaryote. RNAcentral's name for it is "partial 18S ribosomal RNA". It matches the Rfam family "Eukaryotic small subunit ribosomal RNA", at positions 1470 to 1796 of the family's 1831-position model. The record is from RNAcentral.